UGCCAGCCGCCGCGGUAAUACGAAGGGUGCAAGCGUUAAUCGGAAUUACUGGGCGUAAAGCGCGCGUAGGUGGCCAAGUCAGUCAGAUGUGAAAGCCCUGGGCUCAACCUGGGAACUGCAUCUGAUACUGCUUGGCUAGAGUAUGGCAGAGGGGUGUGGAAUUUCCUGUGUAGCGGUGAAAUGCGUAGAUAUAGGAAGGAACACCAGUGGGGAAGGCGACACCCUGGACCAAUACUGACACUGAGGUGCGAAAGCGCGGGGAGCAAACAGGAUUAGAUA
RNAcentral lists this ribosomal RNA (279 nucleotides) under uncultured bacterium. RNAcentral describes it as "partial 16S ribosomal RNA". It matches the Rfam family "Bacterial small subunit ribosomal RNA", at positions 506 to 784 of the family's 1533-position model. The record is from RNAcentral.